RNAcentral lists this ribosomal RNA (440 nucleotides) under uncultured bacterium. Its description in RNAcentral is "partial 16S ribosomal RNA". It matches the Rfam family "Bacterial small subunit ribosomal RNA", at positions 338 to 795 of the family's 1533-position model. The record is from RNAcentral.
CCUACGGGAGGCAGCAGUGGGGAAUAUUGCACAAUGGGCGCAACCCUGAUGCAGCGACGCCGCGUGAGUGAUGAAGGAGUUCGGGAUGUAAAGCUCUAUCAGCAGGGAAGAAAAUGACGGUACCUGACUAAGAAGCCCCGGCGAACUACGUGCAAGCAGCCGCGGUAAUACGUAGGGGGCAAGCGUUAUCCGGAUUUACUGGGGGUAAAGGGAGCGUAGACGGCGGUGCAAGCCAGAUGUGAAAGCCCGGGGCUCAACCCCGGGACUGCAUUUGAAACUGUGCUGCUAGAGUGUCGUAGAGGCAGGCGGAAUUCCUGGUGUAGCGGUGAAAUGCGUAGAUAUUAGGAGGAACACCAGUGGCGAAGGCGGCCUGCUGGAUGAUGACUGACGUUGAGGCUCGAAAGCGUGGGGAGCAAACAGGAUUAGAUACCCUGGUAGUC